RNAcentral lists this ribosomal RNA (389 nucleotides) under uncultured bacterium. RNAcentral describes it as "bacterial SSU rRNA". It matches the Rfam family "Bacterial small subunit ribosomal RNA", at positions 29 to 420 of the family's 1533-position model. The record is from RNAcentral.
AUUGAACGCUGGCGGAAUGCUUUACACAUGCAAGUCGAACGGCAGCACGGGCAACCUGGUGGCGAGUGGCGAACGGGUGAGUAAUACGAUCGGAACGUGCCCAAUCGUGGGGGAUAACGUAGCGAAAGUUACGCUAAUACCGCAUACGAUCUACGGAUGAAAGCGGGGGAUCGCAAGACCUCGCGCGAAUGGAGCGGCCGAUGUCAGAUUAGGUAGUUGGUGGGGUAAAAGGCUCACCAAGCCGACGAUCUGUAGCUGGUCUGAGAGGACGACCAGCCACACUGGGACUGAGACACGGCCCAGACUCCUACGGGAGGCAGCAGUGGGAAUUUUGGGACAAUGGGCGCAAGCCUGAUCCAGCCAUUCCGCGUGCAGGAUGAAGGCCUCGG